UACGUAGGGGGCUAGCGUUGUCCGGAAUCAUUGGGCGUAAAGCGCGUGUAGGCGGCUUGGUAAGUCCGUUCUGAAAGCCCGGGGCUCAACCCCGGGAGGCGGAUGGAUACUGUCAAGCUCGAGUCCGGAAGAGGCAAGUGGAAUUCCCGGUGUAGCGGUGAAAUGCGCAGAUAUCGGGAGGAACACCAGUGGCGAAGGCGACUACCUGGCCUGUUCUUGACGCUGAGGCGCGAAAGCUAGGGGAGCAAACGGG
Molecule: ribosomal RNA, 253 nt
Filed under: uncultured bacterium
Lineage: Bacteria
Description: partial 16S ribosomal RNA
Rfam family: Bacterial small subunit ribosomal RNA
Source: RNAcentral